RNAcentral lists this ribosomal RNA (472 nucleotides) under uncultured bacterium. RNAcentral's name for it is "bacterial SSU rRNA". It matches the Rfam family "Bacterial small subunit ribosomal RNA", at positions 8 to 526 of the family's 1533-position model. The record is from RNAcentral.
AGGGUUUGAUCCUGGCUCAGAACGUACGCUGGCGGCACGCCUAACACAUGCAAGUCGAACGCAGUAGCAAUACUGAGUGGCGAACGGGUGAGUAUAAUGUGGGUAUCUGCCUUUUGGUUUGGAAUAACACGAGGAAACUUGUGCUAAUACCGGAUAAGCCCUUACGGGGAAAGUUUUAACGCCAAAAGAUGAGCCUGCACUUGAUUAGCUAGUUGGUAAGGUAAUGGCUUACCAAGGCUACGAUCAAUAGCUGAUCUGAGAGGAUGAUCAGCCACAUUGGGACUGAGACACGGCCCAAACUCCUACGGGAGGCAGCAGUGGGGAAUCUUGCACAAUGGGGGAAACCCUGAUGCAGCGAUGCCGCGUGAGUGAAGAAGGCCUUUGGGUUGUAAAGCUCUUUCGUCGGGGAAGAAAAUGACUGUACCCGAAUAAGAAGGUCCGGCUAACUUCGUGCCAGCAGCCGCGGUAAUUC